This 459-nucleotide ribosomal RNA is filed under the name uncultured bacterium. RNAcentral describes it as "partial 16S ribosomal RNA". It matches the Rfam family "Bacterial small subunit ribosomal RNA", at positions 338 to 795 of the family's 1533-position model. The record is from RNAcentral.
CCUACGGGGGGCUGCAGUGAGGAAUAUUGGUCAAUGGCCGGAAGGCUGAACCAGCCAAGCCGCGUGAGGGAAGAAGGCGCAAAGCGUCGCAAACCUCUUUUGCCGGGGGACAAAAUGCCGGACGGGUCCGGUUCUGAGGGUACCCGGAGAAAAAGCAUCGGCUAACUCCGUGCCAGCAGCCGCGGUAAUACGGAGGAUGCGAGCGUUAUCCGGAUUCAUUGGGUUUAAGGGGUGCGUAGGCGGGCCGUUAAGACGGCGGUAAAAUAGCGGGGCUCAACCCCGCCGAGCCGUUGGAACUGGGGGACUUGAGUGCGGCGGAGGUACGCGGAAUGCGCGGUGUAGCGGUGAAAUGCAUAGAUAUCGCGCAGAACCCCGAUUGCGAAGGCAGCGUGCCGGGCCGACACUGACGCUGAGGCACGAAAGCGUGGGGAUCGAACAGGAUUAGAUACCCUUGUAGUC